Molecule: ribosomal RNA, 253 nt
Filed under: uncultured bacterium
Lineage: Bacteria
Description: partial 16S ribosomal RNA
Rfam family: Bacterial small subunit ribosomal RNA
Source: RNAcentral
UACGUAGGGGGCAAGCGUUGUCCGGAAUCAUUGGGCGUAAAGCGCGUGUAGGCGGUUCGGUUAGUCUGCUGUGAAAGUCGGGGGCUCAACCCUCGAAUGCCGGUGGAUACUGUCGGGCUAGAGUGCGGAAGAGGCGAGUGGAAUUCCUGGUGUAGCGGUGAAAUGCGCAGAUAUCAGGAGGAACACCAAUUGCGAAGGCAGCUCGCUGGGACGUUACUGACGCUGAGACGCGAAAGCGUGGGGAGCAAACAGG